CCCCUCUCAGGAUCGCAACCUAGAGAGUUUCCAGUAUUCUACGAGUCUCAGCUAUGGGAGGGAGAGUCAAGCAGAGGCCUAUCCAUUCCAUUCCUAGCUUGGGCAGUGGAUAGCGAGUGGAAGGCAAUCUGCUACAAGU
This is a small nucleolar RNA of Tachyglossus aculeatus (Australian echidna), 139 nucleotides long. The record is from RefSeq and is a predicted model, not a curated record. NCBI's taxonomy places the organism in Eukaryota, Metazoa, Chordata, Mammalia, Monotremata, Tachyglossidae.